GACGAACGCUGGCGGCGUGCUUAACACAUGCAAGUCGAGCGGUAAGGCCCUUUCGGGGGUACACGAGCGGCGAACGGGUGAGUAACACGUGGGUGACCUGCCCUCAGCUCUGGGAUAAGCCUGGGAAACCGGGUCUAAUGCCGGAUAUGACUCCAUGACGCAUGUUGUGGGGUGGAAAGCCUUGUGCGGCUGAGGAUGGGCCCGCGGCCUAUCAGCUUGUUGGUGGGGUGANGGCCUACCAAGGCGACGACGGGUAGCCGGCCUGAGAGGGCGACCGGCCACACUGGGACUGAGACACGGCCCAGACUCCUACGGGAGGCAGCAGUGGGGAAUCUUGCGCAAUGGGCGAAAGCCUGACGCAGCGACGCCGCGUGAGGGAUGACGGCCUGG
RNAcentral lists this ribosomal RNA (390 nucleotides) under uncultured bacterium. RNAcentral's name for it is "bacterial SSU rRNA". It matches the Rfam family "Bacterial small subunit ribosomal RNA", at positions 28 to 419 of the family's 1533-position model. The record is from RNAcentral.